GGACCGUUAGCUCAGUUGGUAGAGCAACUGACUCUUAAUCAGUGGGUCUAGGGUUCGAAUCCCUAACGGUCCACCA
This 76-nucleotide transfer RNA is filed under the name bacterium. Its description in RNAcentral is "tRNA-Lys". It matches the Rfam family "tRNA". From Rfam's summary of the family: Transfer RNA (tRNA) molecules are approximately 80 nucleotides in length. Their secondary structure includes four short double-helical elements and three loops (D, anti-codon, and T loops). The record is from RNAcentral. RNAcentral also lists the same sequence under 4 other names.